RNAcentral lists this transfer RNA (74 nucleotides) under Clostridiales bacterium. Its description in RNAcentral is "tRNA-Gln". It matches the Rfam family "tRNA". From Rfam's summary of the family: Transfer RNA (tRNA) molecules are approximately 80 nucleotides in length. Their secondary structure includes four short double-helical elements and three loops (D, anti-codon, and T loops). The record is from RNAcentral. RNAcentral also lists the same sequence under 1 other name. Lineage: Bacteria; Bacillati; Bacillota; Clostridia; Eubacteriales.
UGCCUGAUUGUGUAAGGGUAGCACAAAUGACUCUGACUCAUUUUGUCCGGGUUCGAAUCCUGGUCAGGCAGCCA